This 639-nucleotide ribosomal RNA is filed under the name uncultured bacterium. RNAcentral describes it as "bacterial SSU rRNA". It matches the Rfam family "Bacterial small subunit ribosomal RNA", at positions 232 to 886 of the family's 1533-position model. The record is from RNAcentral.
CGCGGCCUAUCAGCUUGUUGGUGAGGUAACGGCUCACCAAGGCAUCGACGGGUAGCUGGUCUGAGAGGAUGAUCAGCCACACUGGAACUGAGACACGGUCCAGACUCCUACGGGAGGCAGCAGUGGGGAAUAUUGCACAAUGGGCGCAAGCCUGAUGCAGCGAUGCCGCGUGCGGGAAGAAGGCCCUAGGGUUGUAAACCGCUUUCAGCAGGGAAGAAAAUGACGGUACCUGUAGAAGAAGGUGCGGCCAACUACGUGCCAGCAGCCGCGGUGACACGUAGGCACCAAGCGUUGUCCGGAUUUAUUGGGCGUAAAGAGCUCGUAGGCGGUUCAGUAAGUCGGGUGUGAAAACUCUGGGCUCAACCCAGAGACGCCACCCGAUACUGCUGUGACUUGAGUACGGUAGGGGAGCGGGGAAUUCCUGGUGUAGCGGUGAAAUGCGCAGAUAUCAGGAGGAACACCAGUGGCGAAGGCGCCGCUCUGGGCCGUAACUGACGCUGAGGAGCGAAAGCAUGGGUAGCAAACAGGAUUAGAUACCCUGGUAGUCCAUGCCGUAAACGUUGGGCACUAGGUGUGGGUCUCAACCAACGAGAUCCGCGCCGUCGCUAACGCAUUAAGUGCCCCGCCUGGGAGUACGGA